Molecule: non-coding RNA, 91 nt
Filed under: Betaproteobacteria bacterium
Lineage: Bacteria; Pseudomonadati; Pseudomonadota; Betaproteobacteria
Description: Glycine sequence
Rfam family: Glycine riboswitch aptamer
About the family: This family represents the bacterial glycine riboswitch. Glycine riboswitches usually consist of two metabolite-binding aptamers domains with similar structures in tandem.
Source: RNAcentral
UUCAUCCGACCGGGAGAGCGCAACCGCAUGGCGGUGGCCGCCGAAGGCGCAAUACCCAGAAACUCUCAGGCAAAAGGACCGGUCGGGCGGA